CCCUUAGAUGUUCUGGGCCGCACGCGCGCUACACUGAUGCAUUCAACAAGCCUAGCCUUGACCGAGAGGUCCGGGUAAUCUUUGAAACUGCAUCGUGAUGGGGCUAGAUUAUUGCAAUUAUUAAUCUUCAACGAGGAAUGCCUAGUAAGCGUGAUUCAUCAAAUCGCGUUGAUUACGUCCCUGCCCUUUGUACACACCGCCCGUCGCUACUACCGAUUGAACGUUUUAGUGAGGUACUCGGACUGAGCCUCAGAAGAUUCACGUCUUUUGUGCUGCUCGGGAAGAUUCCCAAACUUGAGCGUUUAGAGGAAGUAAAAGUCGUAACA
Molecule: ribosomal RNA, 326 nt
Filed under: uncultured eukaryote
Lineage: Eukaryota
Description: partial 18S ribosomal RNA
Rfam family: Eukaryotic small subunit ribosomal RNA
Source: RNAcentral